GAUGAACGCUGGCGGCGUGCUUAACACAUGCAAGUCGAACGGGAAGCAUUUUAUUGAAGCUUCGGCAGAUUUAGCUUGUUUCUAGUGGCGGACGGGUGAGUAACGCGUGGGUAACCUGCCUUAUACUGGGGGAUAACAGUUAGAAAUGGCUGCUAAUACCGCAUAAGCGCACGGAGCCGCAUGGCUCAGUGUGAAAAACUCCGGUGGUAUAAGAUGGACCCGCGUUGGAUUAGCUAGUUGGCAGGGGAGCGGCCUACCAAGGCUACGAUCCAUAGGGGGCAGGCGAGGGUGAACGAGCACAAUGGUACUAACACACUGAGCAGACUACUACGGGAGGCAGCAGUGGGGAAGAUUGCACAAUGGGGGAAACCCUGAUGCAGCGACGCCGCGUGAAGGAAGAAGUAUCUCGGUAUGUAAGCUUCUAUCAGCAUGGAAGAUAAUGACGGUACCUGACUAAGAAGCCCCGGCUAACUACGUGCCAGCCGCCGCGGUAA
This 494-nucleotide ribosomal RNA is filed under the name uncultured bacterium. Its description in RNAcentral is "partial 16S ribosomal RNA". It matches the Rfam family "Bacterial small subunit ribosomal RNA", at positions 28 to 523 of the family's 1533-position model. The record is from RNAcentral.